CUCGACAACGAAUAUCUCGUCUCUCGCAUCGAUGAAGAACGUAGUGAAAUGCGAUACUUAGUGUGAAUUGCAGAAUCCCAUGAACAAUCGACUUUUUGAAUGCAAGUUGCGCCCGAAGCCUUCUGGUCGAGGGCACGUCUUACUGGGUGUCACG
RNAcentral lists this ribosomal RNA (154 nucleotides) under Begonia formosana. RNAcentral's name for it is "5.8S ribosomal RNA". It matches the Rfam family "5.8S ribosomal RNA". From Rfam's summary of the family: 5.8S ribosomal RNA (5.8S rRNA) is a component of the large subunit of the eukaryotic ribosome. It is transcribed by RNA polymerase I as part of the 45S precursor that also contains 18S and 28S rRNA. Lineage: Eukaryota; Viridiplantae; Streptophyta; Magnoliopsida; Cucurbitales; Begoniaceae. The record is from RNAcentral.